Molecule: ribosomal RNA, 253 nt
Filed under: uncultured bacterium
Lineage: Bacteria
Description: partial 16S ribosomal RNA
Rfam family: Bacterial small subunit ribosomal RNA
Source: RNAcentral
UACAGAGACUGCAAGCGUUAUUCGGAUUCACUGGGCGUAAAGGGUGCGCAGGCGGCCAAGUGUGUGAGGCGUGAAAGCCUGGAGCUUAACUCCAGAAUUGCACCUCAAACUACAUGGCUAGAGCAUUGGAGAGGGUAGCGGAAUUCACGGUGUAGCAGUGAAAUACGCAGAUAUCAGGAAGAACACCCGUGGCUAAGGCGGCUCUCUAGUACGGUACUGACGCUGAGACGCGAAAGCGUGGGGAGCGAACAGG